UCACACAAGAGACCCAAAUUAAUGGUAUACGGCGUAAAGAGUGGACCUAUGACUAUCAUAGCAAUUAAGGCCAAAAAGUAGCUGGGCUGUCAUAAGCUUAAGAUACACUUAAAACCACCAUAAAAACGACCUUAACACAUAUGAUCAACUAAAUUCCACGAAAGCCAGGGCACAAACUGGGAUUAGAUACCCCACUAUGCCUGGCCCUAAAUCUAGAUGCUUGCCCUACCAAAGCAUCCGCCCGAGAACUACGAGCGCAAACGCUUAAAACUCUAAGGACUUGGCGGUGCCCCAAACCCACCUAGAGGAGCCUGUCCUAUAAUCGACAACCCACGAUACACCCGACCAUUUCUUGCAAGAAACAACAGCCUACAUACCGCCGUCGCCAGCUCACCUUCACUGAGAGUACAAUAGUGAGCACAAUCGCCCUAACCCCGCUAGCACGACAGGUCAAGGUAUAGCCUAUGAAAUGGAAGAGAUGGGCUACAUUUUCUAACCUAGAAAACCCUUGCUCCACGAAAGGGAACGUGAAACAGCUCCCAGAAGGCGGAUUUAGUAGUAAAGCGGGACAAUAAAGCCCCCUUAAACCUGGCUCUGAGGCACGUACAUACCGCCCGUCACCCUCUUCACAAGCUUUAAAUUACCAUAAAUAAUACGCCCACUAGCCAAAGAUGAGGUAAGUCGUAACAAGGUAAGUGUACCGG
RNAcentral lists this ribosomal RNA (704 nucleotides) under Phaps chalcoptera (common bronzewing). RNAcentral describes it as "partial 12S ribosomal RNA". It matches the Rfam family "Bacterial small subunit ribosomal RNA", at positions 521 to 1508 of the family's 1533-position model. The record is from RNAcentral. Lineage: Eukaryota; Metazoa; Chordata; Aves; Columbiformes; Columbidae.